AUUGAAACAUCCCAUCUUCUCUUUAAACCUUCGUCAAAAGUACCAUUUAAGAGGAGGUCCGACCAUUUUGAUCAUAGAUUCUCUCCCUGCUUCUUUUCUGCCUCCGAUUAUGGAGUCAUAGUACCCCUUUUGGAUAAGAUUUUUUUAGUUUGUAUAAAGAAGCGUUGUCUGUUGGAAAUGGCUUCCCCUAAUGUUUGCUAUGAAGUUUCUCGGAACAGAUUUGGCUAGCAGUUACAAAGGUAUCCUCAAUUCGCGGAAA
This 259-nucleotide unclassified non-coding RNA is filed under the name Hevea brasiliensis (rubber tree). The record is from RNAcentral. Lineage: Eukaryota; Viridiplantae; Streptophyta; Magnoliopsida; Malpighiales; Euphorbiaceae.